CCUACGGGAGGCAGCAGUGGGGAAUAUUGGACAAUGGGCGAAAGCCUGAUCCAGCAACGCCGUGUGUGUGAAGAAGGCCUUCGGGUUGUAAAGCACUUUUAGUUGGGAAGAAAAGCUCAAGAUUAAUAACUUUGAGUGAUGACGUUACCAACAGAAAAAGCACUGGCUAACUCUGUGCCAGCAGCCGCGGUAAUACAGAGAGUGCGAGCGUUAAUCGGAAUUACUGGGCGUAAAGCGCACGUAGGUGGAAUUUUAAGUCGGAUGUGAAAUCCCCGGGCUUAACCUGGGAAUUGCAUUCGAUACUGUGAUUCUAGAGUAUGGUAGAGGGAAGUGGAAUUUCCGGUGUAGCGGUGAAAUGCGUAGAUAUCGGAAGGAACAUCAGUGGCGAAAGCGGCUUCCUGGACCAAUACUGACACUUAGGUGCGAAAGCGUGGGGAGCAAACAGGAUUAGAUACCCUGGUAGUCCACGCCGUCAACGAUGAUAACUAGAUGUUGGGGAUUUACUCCUUAGUAUCGAAGCUAACGCGUUAAGUUAUCCGCCUGGGGAGUACGGCCGCAAGGUUAAAACCUCAAAUGAAUUGACGG
This 585-nucleotide ribosomal RNA is filed under the name uncultured bacterium. RNAcentral describes it as "bacterial SSU rRNA". It matches the Rfam family "Bacterial small subunit ribosomal RNA", at positions 338 to 916 of the family's 1533-position model. The record is from RNAcentral.